This 541-nucleotide unclassified non-coding RNA is filed under the name Hevea brasiliensis (rubber tree). Lineage: Eukaryota; Viridiplantae; Streptophyta; Magnoliopsida; Malpighiales; Euphorbiaceae. The record is from RNAcentral.
UACUAGUCUAAAAUCAUCUCAGAAAACAAACUCUGGCAACGAUUUCGCAAAAAAGGUAUCCAUCUUGUAGGUCAGUAGGAGGAAAUAGAGUACUUGUAAGCUAUACAAUCUCCGCUACAAAGUCGCAUAAAGUUCACUAGGUGGACUGGAGUAAUUACAAAAUGUGUCAAUUCAAAUACGAAGAUGCAAAUCGUUGCACCAAAGUACCUUGCAAAAGCACAUGCGGAAGUGCAGCCCAACAAAGACGCUCUGCCCCGUGUGUAUAUGCAGGCUGGGAGAGCUGCAUCAACAACUUCAACAGCAAACAAGAACUUAUCUUUCUGCUUCUUCAUUCAAUGUCUGGCAUGCCCAACAGUGGAUAACUGGUAUCAGCAGGUCCAAGAAGGGGAAUAUACUCCGAUCCUCUUACAUGAACACUAAAACAAGCAUUUUCUAUCUUCAUCACACUCUGGAGCAUUGUUUCCAUUUUCUGUUUCAUGUCUGAACUAUCAUCCAUCUCUGGGGCAAUAAGAGUAAGGUUCCUGUAAAUUUCACGCACAAA